Molecule: ribosomal RNA, 253 nt
Filed under: uncultured bacterium
Lineage: Bacteria
Description: partial 16S ribosomal RNA
Rfam family: Bacterial small subunit ribosomal RNA
Source: RNAcentral
UACGUAGGGUGCGAGCGUUGUCCGGAAUUAUUGGGCGUAAAGGGCGUGUAGGCGGCUUCGUGUGUCCCAUGUGAAAGCCCUCGGCUCAACCGGGGAACUGCAUGGGAAACUGCGGAGCUUGAGUCCGGGAGAGGUGAGUGGAAUUCCCAGUGUAGCGGUGAAAUGCGUAGAUAUUGGGAGGAACACCGGUGGCGAAGGCGGCUCACUGGACCGGUACUGACGCUGAGACGCGAAAGCCAGGGGAGCAAACGGG